This 499-nucleotide ribosomal RNA is filed under the name uncultured crenarchaeote. Its description in RNAcentral is "bacterial SSU rRNA". It matches the Rfam family "Archaeal small subunit ribosomal RNA", at positions 1 to 505 of the family's 1478-position model. Lineage: Archaea; Thermoproteati; Thermoproteota. The record is from RNAcentral.
UUUCCCGGUUGAUCCCGCCGGACCUAACUGCUAUCGGAUUGGUACUAAGCCAUGCGAGUCGUUGUAGCAAUACAAGGCGGACGGCUCAGUAACACGUAGUCAACCUAACCUAUGGACGUGGAUAACCUCGGGAAACUGAGAAUAAACCGCGAUAGAUCAUUAUGCCUGGAAUGGCUUAUGGUCCAAACAAUUUAUUGCCGUAGGAUGGGACUGCGGCCUAUCAGCUUGUUGGUGAGGUAAUGGCCCACCAAGGCUAUAACAGGUACGGGCUCUGAGAGGAGAAGCCCGGAGAUGGGUACUGAGACACGGACCCAGGCCCUAUGGGGCGCAGCAGGCGAGAAACCUUAGCAAUGUGCGAAAGCACGACUAGGUUAAUCCGAGUGAUUUCUGUUGAAGAAAUCUUUUGUCAGUCGUAAAACCACAGACGAAUAAGGGGUGGGCAAGUCUGGUGUCAGCCGCCGCGGUAAUACCAGCACCUCGAGUGGUCAGGAGGUUUAUU